Long non-coding RNA from Prunus dulcis (almond), 528 nucleotides. RefSeq lists it as uncharacterized. The record is from RefSeq and is a predicted model, not a curated record. The transcript is spliced from 2 exons. Lineage: Eukaryota; Viridiplantae; Streptophyta; Magnoliopsida; Rosales; Rosaceae.
CAAGUUGCCAGGUCUAGUUGUUGUUCAUUACUUCAAAUUUUUUUUCCAAACAGGAGAGAAUUAUUCAGAGGAACAAUGUUUCCCGGGUUGCCUGAUCUCCAGUUAACUCAGCUGAAAGAGAGAAUUUGAAUGUAUAAAAUCCAGAUGUCACUUGCAGUAAUCUUUGCCAAUGGAUUGAAGGACCCUCCUUCUCUGGCUCAGUUUGUCCUGAUACUUGAUAGAGUUCUUCAACGGAAGCCAUAGCUUCUGUUGCAGACAAAUUUCGAGGGUUGAAGAAAUAAUCAUGGGCGUCCGCAAUCUUCACCUUGCCGACAUCCGUACAGGAAGGGCAUCUGUAUGAUGCCACAAUCUGCUGCGUUCUCCUUCCUUUUUGGAUUCUCCUAGAACAAGUCCUCUGCCCAUUUUCUGUAGUAAAUCAUGCAUCCACAAUCUUCCCCCUACGAUGCUUACUAAAGAUUUCUCACAAAGGAUGGUUAUGUUGAUGCCUGGAUAGUAGCCACAACUUUCAAAUAUCUUUUCUAGACGACA